Panicum virgatum (switchgrass) is the source of this 1184-nucleotide long non-coding RNA. RefSeq lists it as uncharacterized. The transcript is spliced from 4 exons. The record is from RefSeq and is a predicted model, not a curated record. NCBI's taxonomy places the organism in Eukaryota, Viridiplantae, Streptophyta, Magnoliopsida, Poales, Poaceae.
CCUCCCCACUUCCAUAUUCACCACUUAGUGGAGAGUAGAGCCGAUUUACCCGAUGGCCUUACUAGUUCAAGAUGCUACAGCAUGUUUGAAAACCUCCACAUUUCAAUACCAGCCGAUCUAUCCUUUACUCUCUCGUCAAUCGGCUUUAACACAUGGUGGGGCAUGUGGAAAACUCAUGUAUUCAGAAGAGCUUUAGGCCCUCUUCAACAGCAAAUUGAUACUGAAUAUGCAAUCCCCGAGGAAGAGCAACAAGAUGGUCCGGAACCCAUGACCAGUAACGGGGAGCCAUUUUGCUUUAUUCCAACCGCCCCUGAUGUUCUUUUUUUGCAAGGGAUCACCGUCAAUAAAGAAAGUAAUAAUGACUGUUCAGCCAGGCUCAUCCCAGUCGGCUUCUAAGCGGAGACAAACCUCUGGAAGUGCUGCCCCCGAGUCCCGACUAAGAAGAGGAAGAUCAUCUCAAGACGAGUCACCAAGAAAACAGCACAAUCUUCCCCGAAAUCAUCAGAAUCCAACACCAACCAGGACGCAGCUGGAGACACUCUCAGUACUGGAGGCUCGGCACAACAGGAAACCACCGUUCAUGAAGCCGACACCGGGACAACUGAAACUCCCGAUACUCCGAUGGAGUUGCGUGACGAACAUGCUAACAUAGCUGAUACCCCAGUUGCUGCCUUAAACCCAACCGGACCGAUCGCACUCGGACCGAUCAUUGCUUCUUCCUCAGAACAGGGCUUCAACAUUUCAGACUUGCUCUCCUUCGGCCCAGCAUCAAUGGGUCUGAUCGUCCCUAGAGCGAAAGUACCGCCAUCACAGCAGCCGAUUGACCUCGCAGAUCAGCUUCAUCACAUCAAAAAUCUGCUAUCUGCUCCAAUCAGUGCCCUGAUUGAUGAUUCCAGUGAAAUAAAGAAAAUCCUCGAGCAGAUAGAAUCCCAACUCCUAAAGUCACUUCAGGUCAAGCUCUGGCCAGCCGGCCAUCUUCCCUUCUUUCGGGCAGAGGUGAAAGCAGCACAACAUAGAAUAGAGUUACGCCAUUCUCAAAUCCCUCUAAAAGCCGACCUCGCUCAAAAGUGCAAGAUGCUCAACCAGAAGAAAGCAACUCUGGACGCCAAAGCCGAUAUCUCCGCAAGUACAAGGCGACUCAAUCUCUUGGAGAAAGAACUGGUGGAACUCGAAGAAAAGGUCCG